Molecule: ribosomal RNA, 492 nt
Filed under: uncultured bacterium
Lineage: Bacteria
Description: partial 16S ribosomal RNA
Rfam family: Bacterial small subunit ribosomal RNA
Source: RNAcentral
AGUGAACGCUGGCGGUAGGCCUAACACAUGCAAGUCGAACGGCAGCACAGUAAGAGCUUGCUCUUACGGGUGGCGAGUGGCGGACGGGUGAGGAAUACAUCGGAAUCUACUUUUUCGUGGGGGAUAACGUAGGGAAACUUACGCUAAUACCGCAUACGACCUACGGGUGAAAGCAGGGGAUCUUCGGACCUUGCGCGAUUGAAUGAGCCGAUGUCGGAUUAGCUAGUUGGCGGGGUAAAGGCCCACCAAGGCGACGAUCCGUAGCUAGUCUGAGAGGAUGAUCAGCCACACUGGAACUGAGACACGGUCCAGACUCCUACGGGAGGCAGCGGUGGGGAAUAUUGGACAAUGGGCGCAAGCCUGAUCCAGCCAUACCGCGUGGGUGAAGAAGGCCUUCGGGUUGUAAAGCCCUUUUGUUGGGAAAGAAAAGCAGCAGGUUAAUACCCCGCCGUUCUGACGGUACCCAAAGAAUAAGCACCGGCUAACUUCGUG